This 26-nucleotide non-coding RNA is filed under the name Homo sapiens (human). The record is from RNAcentral. Lineage: Eukaryota; Metazoa; Chordata; Mammalia; Primates; Hominidae.
UAAGAGGUGUUGACCAGAACUCUGGG